GUAGCUGGUCUGAGAGGAUGACCAGCCACACUGGAACUGAGACACGGUCCAGACUCCUACGGGAGGCAGCAGUGGGGAAUAUUGGACAAUGGGGGCAACCCUGAUCCAGCAAUGCCGCGUGUGUGAAGAAGGCCUGAGGGUUGUAAAGCACUUUCAGUGGGGAGGAGGGUUGAUUGUUUAAGAGAUGAUUAACUGGACGUUACCCACAGAAGAAGCACCGGCUAACUCCGUGCCAGCAGCCGCGGUAAUACGGAGGGUGCGAGCGUUAAUCGGAAUUACUGGGCGUAAAGGGUGCGUAGGUGGUUAAUUAAGUUAUGUGUAAAAUCCCUGGGCUCAACCUGGGCAGGUCAUAUAAUACUGGUURACUCGAGUAUGG
RNAcentral lists this ribosomal RNA (376 nucleotides) under uncultured Legionella sp. RNAcentral describes it as "bacterial SSU rRNA". It matches the Rfam family "Bacterial small subunit ribosomal RNA", at positions 283 to 651 of the family's 1533-position model. Lineage: Bacteria; Pseudomonadati; Pseudomonadota; Gammaproteobacteria; Legionellales; Legionellaceae. The record is from RNAcentral.